RNAcentral lists this ribosomal RNA (500 nucleotides) under uncultured bacterium. RNAcentral's name for it is "partial 16S ribosomal RNA". It matches the Rfam family "Bacterial small subunit ribosomal RNA", at positions 30 to 523 of the family's 1533-position model. The record is from RNAcentral.
AUUGAACGCUGGCGGAAUGCUUUACACAUGCAAGUCGAACGGCAGCACGGACUUCGGUCUGGUGGCGAAUGGCGAACGGGUGAGUAAUGUAUCGGAACGUGCCCAGUCGUGGGGGAUAACGUAGUGAAGAUUACGCUAAUACCGCAUACGAUCUAUGGAUGAAAGCGGGGGAUCGCAAGACCUCGCGCGAUUGGAGCGGCCGAUAUCAGAUUAGGUAGUUGGUGGGGUAAAGGCCCACCAAGCCAACGAUCUGUAGCUGGUCUGAGAGGACGACCAGCCACACUGGAACUGAGACACGGUCCAGACUCCUACGGGAGGCAGCAGUGGGGAAUUUUGGACAAUGGGCGAAAGCCUGAUCCAGCCAUUCCGCAUGCAGGAUGAAGGCCCUCGGGUUGUAAACUGCUUUUGUACAGAACGAAAAGGUUUCUACUAAUACUAGGAGCUCAUGAUGGUACUGUAAGAAUAAGCACCGGCUAACUACGUGCCAGCAGCCGCGGUAA